UACGAAGGGGGCUAGCGUUGUUCGGAUUUACUGGGCGUAAAGCGCACGUAGGCGGCGCGUUAAGUCGGGUGUGAAAGCCCUGGGCUCAACCCAGGAAGUGCAUUCGAAACUGGCGCGCUUGAAUAUGGAAGAGGGUCGCGGAAUUCCCGGUGUAGAGGUGAAAUUCGUAGAUAUCGGGAGGAACACCAGUGGCGAAGGCGGCGACCUGGGCCAAUAUUGACGCUGAGGUGCGAAAGCGUGGGGAGCAAACAGG
This 253-nucleotide ribosomal RNA is filed under the name uncultured bacterium. Its description in RNAcentral is "partial 16S ribosomal RNA". It matches the Rfam family "Bacterial small subunit ribosomal RNA", at positions 524 to 776 of the family's 1533-position model. The record is from RNAcentral.